AGGACGAACGCUGGCGGCGUGCUUAACACAUGCAAGUCGAGCGGAAAGGCCCUUCGGGGUACUCGAGCGGCGAACGGGUGAGUAACACGUGAGCAACCUGCCCUUAGCUUCGGGAUAGCUCCGGGAAACCGGAAUUAAUACCGAAUAUGACCAUGGCCGACAUCAGCCAUGGUGGAAAGUUUUUCGGCUAGGGAUGGACUCGCGGCCUAUCAGCUAGUUGGUGAGGUAACGGCCCACCAAGGCGACGACGGGUAGCCGGCCUGAGAGGGCGACCGGCCACACUGGGACUGAGACACGGCCCAGACUCCUACGGGAGGCAGCAGUGGGGAAUAUUGCGCAAUGGGCGAAAGCCUGACGCAGCGACGCCGCGUGGGGGAUGAAUGCCUUCGGGUUGUAAACCCCUUUCAGCAGGGACGAAGCGAGAGUGACGGUACCUGCAGAAGAAGCGCCGGCUAACUACGCGCCAGCAGCCGC
Molecule: ribosomal RNA, 474 nt
Filed under: uncultured bacterium
Lineage: Bacteria
Description: SSU rRNA
Rfam family: Bacterial small subunit ribosomal RNA
Source: RNAcentral